This is a non-coding RNA of Caretta caretta (loggerhead turtle), 261 nucleotides long. The record is from RefSeq and is a predicted model, not a curated record. Lineage: Eukaryota; Metazoa; Chordata; Testudines; Cheloniidae.
GGACACGGGGCCUUUCCCCUCUAGGGGGCGCAGGUUCUGAUCUGGCCCCGGGGGGGGACUGCUGGGCUCAGGGGGACGGGGAAUGGGACACGGGGCCUUUCCCCUCUAGGGGGCGCAGGUUCUGAUCCAGCCCCGGGGGGGACGGGGACUGCUGGGCUCAGGGGGACGGGGAAUGGGACACGGGGCCUUUCCCCUCUAGGGGGCGCAGGUUCUGAUCUGGCCCCAUUCCGGUGGGUGAACUCUACGGCUGAGUGGGCGGGC